GUCCACGCCGUAAACGAUGGGUGCUAGGUGUGGGGGGUGUCGACUCCCUCCGUGCCGAAGCUAACGCAUUAAGCACCCCGCCUGGGGAGUACGGCCGCAAGGCUAAAACUCAAAGGAAUUGACGGGGGCCCGCACAAGCAGCGGAGCAUGUGGUUUAAUUCGACGCGACGCGAAGAACCUUACCAAGGCUUGACAUGCACGGGAAUGUCGAAGAAAUUCGGCAGCCCUUCGGGGCUCGUGCACAGGUGGUGCAUGGCUGUCGU
This 263-nucleotide ribosomal RNA is filed under the name uncultured bacterium. RNAcentral's name for it is "partial 16S ribosomal RNA". It matches the Rfam family "Bacterial small subunit ribosomal RNA", at positions 793 to 1055 of the family's 1533-position model. The record is from RNAcentral.